Molecule: ribosomal RNA, 840 nt
Filed under: Oerskovia enterophila
Lineage: Bacteria; Bacillati; Actinomycetota; Actinomycetes; Micrococcales; Cellulomonadaceae
Description: bacterial SSU rRNA
Rfam family: Bacterial small subunit ribosomal RNA
Source: RNAcentral
UGCAUCGGGUACGGGCAGACUAGAGUGCGGUAGGGGUGACUGGAAUUCCUGGUGUAGCGGUGGAAUGCGCAGAUAUCAGGAGGAACACCGAUGGCGAAGGCAGGUCACUGGGCCGCAACUGACGCUGAGGAGCGAAAGCAUGGGGAGCGAACAGGAUUAGAUACCCUGGUAGUCCAUGCCGUAAACGUUGGGCACUAGGUGUGGGGCUCAUUCCACGAGUUCCGUGCCGCAGCAAACGCAUUAAGUGCCCCGCCUGGGGAGUACGGCCGCAAGGCUAAAACUCAAAGGAAUUGACGGGGGCCCGCACAAGCGGCGGAGCAUGCGGAUUAAUUCGAUGCAACGCGAAGAACCUUACCAAGGCUUGACAUACACCGGAAACUUCCAGAGAUGGUUGCCCCGCAAGGUCGGUGUACAGGUGGUGCAUGGUUGUCGUCAGCUCGUGUCGUGAGAUGUUGGGUUAAGUCCCGCAACGAGCGCAACCCUCGUCUUAUGUUGCCAGCACGUUAUGGUGGGGACUCAUAAGAGACUGCCGGGGUCAACUCGGAGGAAGGUGGGGAUGACGUCAAAUCAUCAUGCCCCUUAUGUCUUGGGCUUCACGCAUGCUACAAUGGCCGGUACAAAGGGCUGCGAUACCGCGAGGUGGAGCGAAUCCCAAAAAGCCGGUCUCAGUUCGGAUUGGGGUCUGCAACUCGACCCCAUGAAGUCGGAGUCGCUAGUAAUCGCAGAUCAGCAACGCUGCGGUGAAUACGUUCCCGGGCCUUGUACACACCGCCCGUCAAGUCACGAAAGUCGGUAACACCCGAAGCCGGUGGCCCAACCCUUGUGGAGGGAGCUGUCGAA